CGAAAUGAAAUUUACAACUUUCAGCAACGGAUCUCUUGGCUCUCGCAUCGAUGAAGAACGCAGCGAAUUGCGAUAAGUAAUGUGAAUUGCAGAUUUCCAGUGAAUCAUCGAAUCUUUGAACGCACCUUGCGCUCCUUGGUAUUCCGAGGAGCAUGCCUGUUUGAGUGUCAUCGAAUUCUCUCUCAAUCAUGUCGUGUGCGUCGUGUUGCGCGUGAGCAUGGACAUGACUUGGAGUUUUUGGGGGUUGCUGGCUGGCUCCCCAUGGAGCGGUCGGCUCUCCUUAAAUGCAUUAGCGAACGGGUGUUGGUCUCGAAGACGGUAUGCAUGGCCUUUGACGUGAUAACGAUGGAUCACCGUCAUCGCUGGAGCGUCUUGCUUGGGAUCACGCAUGCCUGGAUCGCUUCUCAAAUCCCCCCCAGGGGAGGAAGAGAGGGGGAGGCUUUUCAGCAACCUGCUGACGGUCUGAAGUGAAGCAGAGUCGAGCUUUUUAGCUAUUAGCUUGCUUUCGGGCGAGCGAACGCGGCGAGACGAGGCUUCCGUCAGACUGUCCGGUCGUGCAAAAAGCACACACACACACUCUCUCUCUCUUGCUGCGACGAGGACAAAGACGGUGGGAUAGACCUUUUUGCAGACUGCUGGUCUAGGAUAGGAUGGGCAGAGUGGUGCCCUAGCUACUAGCUUGCGAGAGCAAGCGAACGCAGGCAAGACUUUUGUCACGAUCAGACUGGCAGUUUGAAGGUCGCUCGAGGUCAGAGUUCUAGGUCUGCAGUGCGUCGUCCUUCUCGAAUCCAAAAAGGUCGACCUCAAAUCAGGCAGGACUACCCGCUGAACUUAAGCAUAUCAAUAAGCGGAGGAAAAGAAACUAACAAGGAUUCCCCUAGUAACUGCGAGUGAAGCGGGAAAAGCUCAAAUUUCGAAUCUGGCGGUCAUAGAAGCCGUCCGAGUUGUAAUCUAGAGAAGCGUCUUCCGCGCUGGCCCGUGUACAAGUCUCCUGGAAGGGAGCGUCAUAGAGGGUGAGAAUCCCGUCUUUGACACGGACUACCGGCGCUAUGUGAUGCGCUCUCGACGAGUCGAGUUGUUUGGGAAUGCAGCUCAAAACGGGUGGUAAAUUCCAUCUAAAGCUAAAUAUGGGCGAGAGACCGAUAGCGAACAAGUACCGUGAGGGAAAGAUGAAAAGAACUUUGGAAAGAGAGUUAAACAGUACGUGAAAUUGCUGAAAGGGAAACGCUUCGCGUCAGCCGCGUCGGUCGGGGAUCAACCCUUGCGAAGCGAUCGCUGGGGGUGCACUUCCUGUCCGACGGGUCAGCAUCAGUUUUGGUCGUCGUACAAGGGCGAGGGGAACGUGGCACUCUUCCGGGAGUGUGUUAUAGCCUUUCGUCGCAUGCGUCGGCAGGGACUGAGGAACUCGGCAUGGCCCUUUGUGUCUGUGUCUAGGAUGCUGGCAUAAUGGCGUCAAGCGACCCGUCUUGAAACACGGACCAAGGAGUCCAACAUGCCUGCGAGUGUUUGGGUGCAAAACCCGAGUGCAAAACGAAAGUGAUCAUCGAGACCUCCGUCAUGGAGGGCACCGACGCCCAGACCUGAGUCCUUGACGACGGUCCUGCGGUAGAGCAUGCAUGUUGGGACCCGAAAGAUGGUGAACUAUGCCUGAAUAGGGCGAAGCC
Molecule: ribosomal RNA, 1664 nt
Filed under: Boletellus ananas
Lineage: Eukaryota; Fungi; Basidiomycota; Agaricomycetes; Boletales; Boletaceae
Also listed under: 1 other name
Description: eukaryotic LSU rRNA
Rfam family: Eukaryotic large subunit ribosomal RNA (bases 799-1664)
Source: RNAcentral